CUUUUUAACACAAGAGGUCCCAGUUGAUGAUGCAGGGAGAGGAACUGUGGAAAGCAGUUUCCCAUGUUUGGAGGGUCCACACCUGUCCCUUUCAAAUGCUGGCACUUUCACACA
RNAcentral lists this small nucleolar RNA (114 nucleotides) under Vicugna pacos (alpaca). RNAcentral's name for it is "Small nucleolar RNA SNORA71 (ENSVPAG00000016994.1)". It matches the Rfam family "Small nucleolar RNA SNORA71", at positions 26 to 134 of the family's 134-position model. Rfam says of the family: The members of this family belong to the H/ACA class of snoRNAs which bind a number of proteins (including dyskerin, Gar1p and Nop10p) to form snoRNP complexes. This class of snoRNAs are thought to guide the sites of modification of uridines to pseudouridines by forming direct base pairing interactions with substrate RNAs. The record is from RNAcentral. Lineage: Eukaryota; Metazoa; Chordata; Mammalia; Artiodactyla; Camelidae.